CAGCUACAAGGCAGACUUGCUUCCUUUGACGUUAGCGGCGGACGGGUGAGUAACACGUGGGUAACCUACCUCUAAGACUGGGUAACUUCGGGAAACCGGGGCUCAUACCGGUAAUAUUUUCGAACCGCAUGGGUCGAUAGUGAAAGAUGGUUUUGCUAUCACUUAUAGAUGGACCCGCGCCGUAUUAGCUAGUUGGAAGGUAACGGCUGACCCAGGCCACGAUACGUAGCCGAACUGAGAGG
Molecule: ribosomal RNA, 242 nt
Filed under: Staphylococcus haemolyticus
Lineage: Bacteria; Bacillati; Bacillota; Bacilli; Caryophanales; Staphylococcaceae
Description: partial 16S ribosomal RNA
Rfam family: Bacterial small subunit ribosomal RNA
Source: RNAcentral